UACGAAGGGGGGCUAGCGUUGCUCGGAAUUACUGGGCGUAAAGAGCUCGUAGGUGGUUUGUCGCGUUGUCCGUGAAAACUCACAACUCAAUUGUGGGCGUGCGGGCGAUACGGGCAGACUGGAGUACUGCAGGGGAGACUGGAAUUCCUGGUGUAGCGGUGGAAUGCGCAGAUAUCAGAAGGAACAUCAGUGGCGAAGGCGCUUUCUGGACCAAUACUGACGAUCAGGUGCGAAAGCGUGGGGAGCAAACAGG
This 253-nucleotide ribosomal RNA is filed under the name uncultured bacterium. RNAcentral describes it as "partial 16S ribosomal RNA". It matches the Rfam family "Bacterial small subunit ribosomal RNA", at positions 524 to 776 of the family's 1533-position model. The record is from RNAcentral.